This 67-nucleotide transfer RNA is filed under the name Harmonia axyridis. RNAcentral's name for it is "tRNA-Met". Lineage: Eukaryota; Metazoa; Arthropoda; Insecta; Coleoptera; Coccinellidae. The record is from RNAcentral.
AUAAAGAUAAGCUAAGAAGCUGAUGGGUUCAUACCCCAUUUAUAAAGGUAUACCCCUUUUCUUUAUA